GACGAACGCUGGCGGCGUGCCUAACACAUGCAAGUCGAGCGGAGUUAGUUUGUAGCUUGCUACAAACUAACUUAGCGGCGGACGGGUGAGUAACGCGUGGAUAACCUGCCUUUUACAGGGGGAGAACACAGGGAAACUUGUGCUAAUACCGCAUAACAUAUAGAAGUGGCAUCGCUUUUAUAUCAAAGGAGCAAUUCGGUAGAAGAUGGAUCCGCGUCCGAUUAGCUAGUUGGCGGGGUAAAGGCCCACCAAGGCGACGAUCGGUAGCCGAACUGAGAGGUUGAUCGGCCACAUUGGGACUGAGACACGGCCCAGACUCCUACGGGAGGCAGCAGUGGGGAAUAUUGCGCAAUGGGGGAAACCCUGACGCAGCAACGCCGCGUGAAGGAUGAAGGCUUUCGGGUUGUAAACUUCUUUAGUCGGGGACGAAAAAAUGACGGUACCCGAAGAAUAAGCCACGGCUAACUACGUGCCAGCCGCCGCGGUAA
Molecule: ribosomal RNA, 488 nt
Filed under: uncultured bacterium
Lineage: Bacteria
Description: partial 16S ribosomal RNA
Rfam family: Bacterial small subunit ribosomal RNA
Source: RNAcentral